UUUUGGGACCUAUGCGACAGAGACGCUGUGAACCGGGUCAGGCGGGGAACCGAGCAGCCCUAAGCAGUAGACCUGGGCGCUGUAGGAUACCUGAUCUGG
RNAcentral lists this signal recognition particle RNA (99 nucleotides) under Victivallales bacterium. RNAcentral describes it as "signal recognition particle sRNA small type". It matches the Rfam family "Bacterial small signal recognition particle RNA". Rfam says of the family: The signal recognition particle (SRP) is a universally conserved ribonucleoprotein involved in the co-translational targeting of proteins to membranes. Archaeal SRP consists of a 7S RNA and homologues of the eukaryotic SRP19 and SRP54 proteins. The record is from RNAcentral. Lineage: Bacteria; Pseudomonadati; Lentisphaerota; Lentisphaeria; Victivallales.